This 327-nucleotide ribosomal RNA is filed under the name uncultured eukaryote. Its description in RNAcentral is "partial 18S ribosomal RNA". It matches the Rfam family "Eukaryotic small subunit ribosomal RNA", at positions 1470 to 1796 of the family's 1831-position model. The record is from RNAcentral.
CCCUUAGAUGUUCUGGGCCGCACGCGCGCUACACUGACGAAUGCAACGAGCUUAUAACCUUGGCCGAAAGGUCUGGGUAAUCUCCAAAUUUCGUCGUGAUGGGGAUAGAUUAUUGCAAUUAUUGAUCUUCAACGAGGAAUGCCUAGUAAGCGCAAGUCAUCAGCUUGCGUUGAUUACGUCCCUGCCCUUUGUACACACCGCCCGUCGCUCCUACCGAUUGAAUGGUCCGGUGAAGCGUUCGGACCGUGGCCUUUGGACGGUUCGCCGUCUGUUGGCUGCGGGAAGUUCGUUAAACCUUAUCAUUUAGAGGAAGGAGAAGUCGUAACA